This 271-nucleotide ribosomal RNA is filed under the name uncultured bacterium. RNAcentral's name for it is "partial 16S ribosomal RNA". It matches the Rfam family "Bacterial small subunit ribosomal RNA", at positions 524 to 794 of the family's 1533-position model. The record is from RNAcentral.
UACGUAGGGGGCAAGCGUUAUCCGGAUUUACUGGGUGUAAAGGGAGCGUAGACGGCACUGCAAGUCUGGAGUGAAAGCCCGGGGCUCAACCCCGGGACUGCUUUGGAAACUGUGGUGCUAGAGUGCAGGAGAGGUAAGUGGAAUUCCUAGUGUAGCGGUGAAAUGCGUAGAUAUUAGGAGGAACACCAGUGGCGAAGGCGGCUUACUGGACUGUAACUGACGUUGAGGCUCGAAAGCGUGGGGAGCAAACAGGAUUAGAUACCCGAGUAGU